Etheostoma spectabile (orangethroat darter) is the source of this 1995-nucleotide long non-coding RNA. RefSeq lists it as uncharacterized. NCBI's taxonomy places the organism in Eukaryota, Metazoa, Chordata, Actinopteri, Perciformes, Percidae. The transcript is spliced from 2 exons. The record is from RefSeq and is a predicted model, not a curated record.
CAGCAUAAAACCAACAAACAAGGUUGAGUUUAAACAAUAUUUGAAGGGCAUCAUAUCAACAUAUAGGCUAUGUCAGUGAUCUCACUGAGGUUGAAACAUGUCACUAUAUAUGUUAUUUAUAUUUGCACAGGUUUGGGGGGAUAUUCAUAUAUUUAUUGUAUAUAUUUGUGGGGCGAUUGCUUACAAAAAACAAGUGUCACACGUAAGUUCAGCACUCUGAUGUGAGAGGAGCUUUUUGCAACAAAUCAUGCCAUUUCUAGGCUGAUAGUCUGUAGACUGGAGUCAGAAAACUGCAUAAUUUAAACCUCAUUGCAGUAUGCAACUAUUAAAAUACUGGUUAUCUGUAUUCAAGAUGUUGUACUGCUAAUUGUCAAUAUUAAAUUAGCGUCCUAUUACAGAAGUAUUUAGGUAUUAACCAGCCUAAUACUAAGAAUAACCAAGUUAGUUAGCUAAGUUAUUAAUAUGUGACUCUGUUUACUGUGUCUGCAGAUGGCAUUGCCUAUGUUGAUGUGUGAUCAUCAGACAAAACUACAAACUGUUUGAAACCAUUUGUUCAGCAGCUGUAGCCAAUGGGAGCUCAGAUUAGACUGCAGCGCACAUUUGCACUAUAUUGUAUACCAUUGACUGUAUUUACAGAAAAUGAAUAUGUAUACUUUGCAAAACUUAAAUGCCUUUUCUCUUAUAGGUAUCAAAAACAUUCAAUAAAAAGGCACACAUGUAUUCUUCAACGACGGUCACCCAGCCACAUGGAGGAAAGCCAAGGAAUGAGAUGUAAGGCUCGUCUCUGUGAUCUUGGUAGGCUGGUAAGAAUAACAGAAUUGUGUACUUUUUCAACUCAAAUUAUAUAUUUUUUGAUUGUAUUGUUAUAAAGAUGAUGUUGUUAAUCAUUACUUGAUCUCUUUGUGGCUUAUAUUUGGUGAAAUGACGUCCCGAUGUUACGACGAUGGGGUGUAUGGGGAUGAGGAGUUGCAUCCGGCCUUUCAUGAUGAAAGCAAUCCUGUGUUGAAGAACAAGAAACUUACCGCCACCUGAUUCAAAAAGACCUCCUUUGCCCACCCAUGGAGAGAGACAUUCAAGAUGAGAAAACAAAGAAGUGAAACCUUUGGAUGAGAAACUAAUAGUAAAAGGAAGAGGAAACUGGAAAAAAGCAGUGAGCCUUAAGGUCAUCCACAACGGGACGUUUAAGAAUCUCUGCCUGCUUUGCAGAGUCCACAUGCCAAUGUUACACUUGUGUCUAAAAAGAAAAACAAAGCCCCGAGCUAUUUACAAGCACCAGUACAAGUCCAGGUGAAGCAGUGAAACAGAAGAACAUAUGCAUCAGUACAACCAACAGUGUUCACAGAGGCUUAAAUAAGGCUAGAAAAUGUAUAUUAAUAAUAAUUUUCCUUUUUAUAUUCAUCAUUAUGGCCUGAACAAAACUAAAUAGUUCUAAUGGCGUUUGAACUUCCACAAUGGUGGAGGUUUUUACAUAGGUCUGUAAUCCCUGGGUCAUGUGUGUGUUUGCAACAGAAUCAUUCUAAUCAGGGAAAACUCAUUUACUCUUCCUAGUUUUCUGGAGGAAAAUUUCGGGCUCAUAUUCUAAAAAGAAAAUUAAAAAAAUAUUAAUUUUGAUGUAUGAACUGAACUGAACUGAGGCCUUUUCUAGAGGAAUAGUCUCGUAGUAUAUCUGUGUUUGUCUUUAGGACUCUGCUGUUCCAGUCCUGUGGUCCAUUACGGUUGGUCCUGCUAUGUUAGCCUCCGCAAAAACCUACUGGACCGCACCAGGACCCCAGAGAGCCGGUUUCAAAGGAAUGUGUCAUUUCAAACUAAUCUGUUGUCACUAUUAUAUGCUUCAUACUAAUUGUAUACAUUACUUUUACAUAAUUGUAUUAGUUACAAUAUGCAGGUUUUUUUUUAUGGUACCAAUAUUAUUGUACCAUUUAUAUGAUACUAACAGGAACUGAUCAAACAUGUGCCUUUUUGGAUAUCAAUUAAACGGUGACUUUACUCCUUCUA